Long non-coding RNA from Nicotiana attenuata, 656 nucleotides. RefSeq lists it as uncharacterized. The record is from RefSeq and is a predicted model, not a curated record. The transcript has 5 exons. Lineage: Eukaryota; Viridiplantae; Streptophyta; Magnoliopsida; Solanales; Solanaceae.
UCAGCAGCUUCAUGAAUGUCCACUUUCUUCCUCUUCUCUCAAUCUGACUUUCCCAAUAUUCUCUCUUUGCUUUUCUAUCAUCUCUACUCCAAAGAGUUAUUUUAUCUGAUUCCUCAGUUUGAACUUGACGUAUAAACCCUAAGAGUUGAGGCUACUUUUGUUUAGGAUUCAUUGGCAAAGGCGCAUGGGUCAUCAUUGUUUAUGGGUUAUUGUACACCCAAAGGUCUCAAGAUACUGUAUUGAAGUUUGUUACGGGGGAUUGAUGUGGUUCUUAUGCUUGAUCUGUUGAAGAAAUUUGUCAAUGCAGGCAACAAGACUUUGUAGAUGUAACUGACAACGAUGGGAAGAGCUUGGUGCGUUGGAGGUUGCUCCAUAUGAACUUCAUCCUCAUGGUAUUCUGCAAUAUACACCUCUGUCAUUCAUUAAGCCAAAAGGUGUUGAUUGACUAGAUUUAAUGGCUGUGGUUGACUUCUUUAUCAGCAUAUAGCAGAAGUGCCUAAAUUAGUUGGGAUGGAGAAGGGCUAUAGUGUUUUCUUCAUGGUUGAUGAUAUUGAAGCAUAAGUUUAAAGGUCUGCAUAAGAUUAUUAAGGAUGUACUUGAAGAUAAUUAAGGUGUCGUUUCUGAUCGUAUCAGGAUCUUAGUGUUGUUUUAUUAUU